This 402-nucleotide ribosomal RNA is filed under the name uncultured Campylobacterota bacterium. Its description in RNAcentral is "bacterial SSU rRNA". It matches the Rfam family "Bacterial small subunit ribosomal RNA", at positions 355 to 774 of the family's 1533-position model. The record is from RNAcentral. Lineage: Bacteria; Pseudomonadati; Campylobacterota.
UGGGGAAUAUUGCACAAUGGGGGAAACCCUGAUGCAGCAACGCCGCGUGGAGGAUGACACAUUUCGGUGCGUAAACUCCUUUUAUAUGGGAAGAUAAUGACGGUACCAUAUGAAUAAGCACCGGCUAACUCCGUGCCAGCAGCCGCGGUAAUACGGAGGGUGCAAGCGUUACUCGGAAUCACUGGGCGUAAAGCGCGCGCAGGCGGUCUUUUAAGUUGGAUGUGAAAGCCUACGGCUCAACCGUAGAACUGCAUCCAAAACUAUUAGACUAGAGUGUGGGAGAGGAAGAUGGAAUUAGUUGUGUAGGGGUAAAAUCCGUAGAGAUAACUAGGAAUACCAAAAGCGAAGGCAAUCUUCUGGAACACUACUGACGCUGAGGCGCGAAAGCGUGGGGAGCAAACA